Molecule: non-coding RNA, 836 nt
Organism: Nelumbo nucifera (sacred lotus)
Lineage: Eukaryota; Viridiplantae; Streptophyta; Magnoliopsida; Proteales; Nelumbonaceae
Source: RefSeq, a predicted model, not a curated record
AAUAAGGAAUAAUUGGAAUAGGAUUGUUCAAACCCAAAGGGACUUGCCACAGACCAUACAAAGAUUUCCGGAAAUUGCAUACCUUUGCAGUCCCGGAGACCGAAAAACCUGGAGAAGGUUUCAUAUAGACCUCCUCAUGGAGAUCACCGUGCAGAAAAGCAUUGUAGACAUCCCAUCUAAUGCAAAUUGCCUUUUUUUUGUUUGCAAAUUGCGGAUCCUGUGAAGUCGCUUCUGUCUGCUGAAUACGCUGAAGUUGUGGCUAUUUUAGAGUGUGUAAAUUUCAAGUUGUUCUCUGUUGCCCGUAUUUCUAUCUCUCUACAACUCAUAUGCUGGUUGCAAAAGGAAAGAUGAGUUCUGAGGCUGUUUGUUGGCACUGCACUUGUUCUGUGCUUAUAGUUGUCUCCAUAGUUGGCUUACUGCAAUGGUGGAAGUUGUUGAUAUGCAUUAGGAUCCCAUUGUUACUGGUAUAGAGGACAAGAUUGCAGCCUGGUCCCAAAGGAUUGAUUAUAUCCAUAAGGCAUUUUGUGUGGGCUUUGUGGCAUCUAGGUUGCUUUAGAAAAGGAUUUAUCUAUCCAAUAAGAUCAAGAUAUUGGAAUCCAAUGAGAUUUGAGAGGGCCAAUGUCAUUUUACUAAUGGAGUGUUGACUGAAGUUUAUGAUCUAAAGCGAAGGACAUGAGUAUGAUGCAUGUGCAUAUAAUCAACUAUUCAGAUGCAAUGAGGAUAAUUUUGUUAAUUCUCUUUUCUUAUUUUGGUGAUGAAAAAAAAAUUAUUAAAGGUGUGUAUUGAACAAAGACUAUUAUGAAUGUUUUGUAUAAUUUUGUACAGGUUUUAUCAUA